AGCAGCCGCGGUAAUUCCAGCUCCAAUAGCGUAUAUUAAAGUUGUUGCAGUUAAAAAGCUCGUAGUUGAAUUUCGGGGUCAGUGAGUUGGUCGUGCCACUGGUAUGCACUGGCUUUACUGAUUCCUCCUUCUUGAAGAACUGUAAUGCUAUUAAUUUAGUGUUGCAGGGAAACAGGACUGUUACUUUGAAAAAAUUAGAGUGUUUAAAGCAGGCUAACGCUUGAAUACAUUAGCAUGGAAUAAUGAAAUAGGACGUUUGAUCCUAUUUUGUUGGUUUCUAGGAUUGACGUAAUGAUUAAUAGGGAUAGUUGGGGGCAUUAGUAUUCAAUUGUCAGAGGUGAAAUUCUUGGAUUUAUUGAAGACUGACUACUGCGAAAGCAUUUGCCAAGGAUGUUUUCAUUAAUCAAGAACGAAAGUUAGGGGAUCGAAGACGAUCAGAUACCGUCGUAGUCUUAACCAUAAACUAUGCCGACUAGGGAUCGGAUGAUG
RNAcentral lists this ribosomal RNA (489 nucleotides) under uncultured Glomus. RNAcentral's name for it is "SSU rRNA". It matches the Rfam family "Eukaryotic small subunit ribosomal RNA", at positions 569 to 1062 of the family's 1831-position model. The record is from RNAcentral. Lineage: Eukaryota; Fungi; Glomeromycota; Glomeromycetes; Glomerales; Glomeraceae.